Molecule: ribosomal RNA, 862 nt
Filed under: uncultured bacterium
Lineage: Bacteria
Description: bacterial SSU rRNA
Rfam family: Bacterial small subunit ribosomal RNA
Source: RNAcentral
AGGGUUUGAUCAUGGCUCAGAACGAACGCCGGCGGCAGGCCUAACACAUGCAAGUCGAGCGCAGUCCUUCGGGACCGAGCGGCGGACGGGUUAGUAACGCGUGGGAAUAUGCCCUUCACUACGGAAUAGCCUCGGGAAACUGAGAGUAAUACCGUAUACGCCCUUCGGGGGAAAGAUUUAUCGGUGAAGGAUUAGCCCGCGUAAGAUUAGAUAGUUGGUGGGGUAAUGGCCUACCAAGUCUACGAUCUUUAGCUGGUUUUAGAGGAUGAUCAGCAACACUGGGACUGAGACACGGCCCAGACUCCUACGGGAGGCAGCAGUGGGGAAUCUUGGACAAUGGGCGCAAGCCUGAUCCAGCCAUGCCGCGUGUGUGAUGAAGGCCUUAGGGUCGUAAAGCACUUUCGCCAGAGAUGAUAAUGACAGUAUCUGGUAAAGAAACCCCGGCUAACUCCGUGCCAGCAGCCGCGGUAAUACGGAGGGGGUUAGCGUUGUUCGGAAUUACUGGGCGUAAAGCGCACGUAGGCGGAUUAGUCAGUCAGAGGUGAAAUCCCAGGGCUCAACCCUGGAACUGCCUUUGAUACUGCUAGUCUUGAGUUCGAGAGAGGUGAGUGGAAUUCCGAGUGUAGAGGUGAAAUUCGUAGAUAUUCGGAGGAACACCAGUGGCGAAGGCGGCUCACUGGCUCGAUACUGACGCUGAGGUGCGAAAGUGUGGGGAGCNNCAGGAUUAGAUACCCUGGUAGUCCACACCGUAAACGAUGAAUGCCAGUCGUCGGGUAGUAUACUAUUCGGUGACACACCUAACGGAUUAAGCAUUCCGCCUGGGGAGUACGGUCGCAAGAUUAAAACUCAAAUGAAUUGACGG